Molecule: unclassified non-coding RNA, 348 nt
Filed under: soil metagenome
Description: partial contains 5.8S ribosomal RNA, internal transcribed spacer 2, and large subunit ribosomal RNA
Rfam family: 5.8S ribosomal RNA (bases 1-120)
Source: RNAcentral
GAUGAAGAACGCAGCGAAAUGCGAUACGUAAUGUGAAUUGCAGAAUUCAGUGAAUCAUCGAGUCUUUGAACGCACAUUGCGCCCGCCAGUAUUCUGGCGGGCAUGCCUGUCUGAGCGUCAUUUCAACCCUCAUGCCCCUAGGGCGUGGUGUUGGGGAUCGGCCAAAGCCCGCGAGGGACGGCCGGCCCCUAAAUCUAGUGGCGGACCCGUCGUGGCCUCCUCUGCGAAGUAGUGAUAUUCCGCAUCGGAGAGCGAUGAGCCCCUGCCGUUAAACCCCCAACUUUCCAAGGUUGACCUCAGAUCAGGUAGGAAUACCCGCUGAACUUAAGCAUAUCAAUAAGCGGAGGA